This 75-nucleotide transfer RNA is filed under the name Deltaproteobacteria bacterium ADurb.Bin058. Its description in RNAcentral is "tRNA-Lys". It matches the Rfam family "tRNA". From Rfam's summary of the family: Transfer RNA (tRNA) molecules are approximately 80 nucleotides in length. Lineage: Bacteria; Deltaproteobacteria. The record is from RNAcentral.
UGGGCCCAUAGCUCAGUCGGUAGAGCAGCGGCCUUUUAAGCCGUUGGCCGUGAGUUCGAAUCUCACUGGGCUCAU